Molecule: ribosomal RNA, 254 nt
Filed under: uncultured Eubacteriales bacterium
Lineage: Bacteria; Bacillati; Bacillota; Clostridia; Eubacteriales
Description: uncultured Clostridiales bacterium partial 16S ribosomal RNA
Rfam family: Bacterial small subunit ribosomal RNA
Source: RNAcentral
UACGUAGGGGGCAAGCGUUAUCCGGAUUUACUGGGUGUAAAGGGGGCGCAGACGGCCAUGGCAAGCCCGGUGUGAAAGGCAGGGGCAUAACCCCUGGACUGCACUGGGAACUGUCAGGCUGGAGUGCCGGAGGGGUAAGCGGAAUUCCUGGUGUAGCGGUGAAAUGCAUAGAUAUCACGCAGAACCCCGAUUGCGAAGGCAGCAUGCCGGCUUCCGACUGACGCUGAAGCACGAAAGCGUGGGGAUCGAACAGG